This 27-nucleotide non-coding RNA is filed under the name Homo sapiens (human). The record is from RNAcentral. Lineage: Eukaryota; Metazoa; Chordata; Mammalia; Primates; Hominidae.
UGUGGUACAUGGACUACGACGCCUUCC